UACGUAGGGAGCAAGCGUUGUUCGGAUUUACUGGGCGUAAAGGGCGCGUAGGCGGCCUGCUAAGUCGAACGUGAAAUCCCUGGGCUCAACCCAGGAACUGCGUCCGAUACUGGUUGGCUUGAAUCCGGGAGAGGGAUGUGGAAUUCCAGGUGUAGCGGUGAAAUGCGUAGAUAUCUGGAGGAACACCGGUGGCGAAGGCGACAUCCUGGACCGGUAUUGACGCUGAGGCGCGAAAGCCAGGGGAGCAAACGGG
Molecule: ribosomal RNA, 253 nt
Filed under: uncultured bacterium
Lineage: Bacteria
Description: partial 16S ribosomal RNA
Rfam family: Bacterial small subunit ribosomal RNA
Source: RNAcentral